RNAcentral lists this ribosomal RNA (303 nucleotides) under uncultured Pseudomonas sp. RNAcentral describes it as "bacterial SSU rRNA". It matches the Rfam family "Bacterial small subunit ribosomal RNA", at positions 30 to 335 of the family's 1533-position model. Lineage: Bacteria; Pseudomonadati; Pseudomonadota; Gammaproteobacteria; Pseudomonadales; Pseudomonadaceae. The record is from RNAcentral.
CGAACGCUGGCGGCAGGCCUAACACAUGCAAGUCGAGCGGAUGAGAGGAGCUUGCUCCUCGAUUCAGCGGCGGACGGGUGAGUAAUGCCUAGGAAUCUGCCUAGUAGUGGGGGACAACGUUUCGAAAGGAACGCUAAUACCGCAUACGUCCUACGGGAGAAAGUGGGGGAUCUUCGGACCUCACGCUAUUAGAUGAGCCUAGGUCGGAUUAGCUAGUUGGUAGGGUAAAGGCCUACCAAGGCGACGAUCCGUAACUGGUCUGAGAGGAUGAUCAGUCACACUGGAACUGAGACACGGUCCACG